RNAcentral lists this long non-coding RNA (761 nucleotides) under Mus musculus (house mouse). Its description in RNAcentral is "RIKEN cDNA 4930500H12 gene". Lineage: Eukaryota; Metazoa; Chordata; Mammalia; Rodentia; Muridae. The record is from RNAcentral.
GUGCCCAACAGAAGUAGCCUCACCCUGAGUGUCUGAAGCCAGUAUACACGUGAUGGAUCAUAUUUGAACAACAUAUCUCUGAAUAUUUAGGAUGAAUGAAGCCACCAUUCUCAUUUCUUGUGUCUACUCUGAAGCUAAUGGUGCUAGAAGAUCCCUUUUAUCUUGGUGUCACAACUCCAUCAACAGAAGGCCUGGGGCCUUGACUUCUCACAGGGGCAGACUGUGAACUGGACCUAUAAACCAAACAUUCUCUUCCUCCCUUGAACUGAGCUAGUCAAGGUCUUUGUUAUCACAGGAAGAACUGAAGAAACCAAUGCAUCUAAGGGGCCAGCACAUCCAGAGUGCAAAGGGUAAUCAUUGCCCUAGGAAAGACAACUUUUUGAUCCUGUUUUCUCUACCAGGAAAGUUCUUAUUUCACAAUUGUAAGGACGCUUCGGAAAAAGUUCAUGGAACAUUCAGUUGACAACUGUCCUGGUAUUCAAAUCAAAAGUGUGGUGAUACGAUUUUAUGAAAACAUCUCUUACAUUGAAAGUGACUUUGGUUUUGAUUGAGUCUCACAACCGAGUUACUGAUACAAUUUAAGACCGCUUAAGACUCCGCCGGAGAAGCUACCGUGGAUUCAUCCUUUCUUUUUACAAGAACAAUGUAGUCCAAAAACUUGUCUUAGACUUCCUGUGUACUUAGCUUUCAUAAGCUAAGCUAAUGCAUAGCUAUAACUUUAAAUUAUAUAUUGUGUCAUGCCCCUCGCCAUGAGAGCAAUA